AUUGAGGCCAAUCAACUCCCACAGAUCCUAUCAAAUAUAAAAACCCAUUAAUGGGCACAUCAUCACGGAGUCAAUAGGUAUCAUCUAUCAACUUUUUGAGCGAAAAUCUGAGAACUCGAAGAACUAACCUCAAAGAAUAACAUGGAUAUCGAACUGGGAGAGGGUGGGCUUAAUGGAUACAAAUAAUACGGGUUUUAUACAAACAAGAGAAAUCCCAAUGAUACACACAAAAAAAAGUUAAGACGUGAUAGUAACGAAGAAGCGAAGGUCGUCCGAGGAUGAUCGUCUGGUGCGCACUGGACACAUCCCACAGUAGCUGAGUUUGGAUACAGAGAUGGAAUCAAAGAGAAAGGAAGAGAGAAGAGAAUUUUAUCGGCAUUAGGAGAGAGUGUCGACAUAGUUUAGAGAA
This 409-nucleotide unclassified non-coding RNA is filed under the name Hevea brasiliensis (rubber tree). Lineage: Eukaryota; Viridiplantae; Streptophyta; Magnoliopsida; Malpighiales; Euphorbiaceae. The record is from RNAcentral.